This 80-nucleotide non-coding RNA is filed under the name Desulfobacter postgatei. Its description in RNAcentral is "c-di-GMP sequence". It matches the Rfam family "c-di-GMP-I-GGC riboswitch aptamer". The record is from RNAcentral. Lineage: Bacteria; Pseudomonadati; Thermodesulfobacteriota; Desulfobacteria; Desulfobacterales; Desulfobacteraceae. RNAcentral also lists the same sequence under 1 other name.
ACAGUCAAAGCCAAACCUGACGAAAGUCAGGGACGGAAAGACACGGAUUCUAAUUAAAGGGGACAGCCGGGUUGCCUGAA